RNAcentral lists this ribosomal RNA (341 nucleotides) under uncultured Thermus sp. RNAcentral's name for it is "bacterial SSU rRNA". It matches the Rfam family "Bacterial small subunit ribosomal RNA", at positions 1039 to 1382 of the family's 1533-position model. Lineage: Bacteria; Thermotogati; Deinococcota; Deinococci; Thermales; Thermaceae. The record is from RNAcentral.
UGCUGCAUGGCCGUCGUCCAGCUCGUGCCGUGAGGUGUGGGUUAAGUCCCGCAACGAGCGCAACCCCGCCGUUAGUGCCAGCGGUUCGGCCGGGCACUCUAACGGGACUGCCCGCGAAAGCGGGAGGAAGGAGGGGACGACGUCUGGUCAGCAUGGCCCUUACGGCCUGGGCGACACACGUGCUACAAUGCCCACUACAAAGCGAUGCCACCCGGCAACGGGGAGCUAAUCGCAAAAAGGUGGGCCCAGUUCGGAUUGGGGUCUGCAACCCGACCCCAUGAAGCCGGAAUCGCUAGUAAUCGCGGAUCAGCCAUGCCGCGGUGAAUACGUUCCCGGGCCUU